CAAAAGAAAUGUCUCCCUCAGGCUGGACGGAAGCAGCAGAGCCUGUUUGCGACAAGCCUGCCAACUAAGCCUGUCGGAAGGAGCUGGGUGGAGUAGGUGCUCCGAGGGCCGAUCCGAUCCCACGGGGAAAUCUGGCAGCACCCUGGAACAGCAGCUCUCAAACCUGACACAUGUUAGAGGCACCUGGGGAACUUAAAAUCCCAAGGCUCAGGCCACCCACUAAGCAGAUUGCAUCAGAUUCUCCGGGGGACGACCCAGGCAGGCAUCAGUCAUUUGAAAACUCCCCAGGUGACCCCAGUGCGGCAUCCUAGGGAUGCUCAGCUCAUCGCCUUCGGAAAGACACUGACUACCCGUCAAGAGGAGACUGAAGUUUGCUGGCCCUGUUUGAAUCGCAAAACAAAGGUAGCCACCACGGUCAAGUCCAGCCUUCUGAAACCUGGCGGGUCCCUCAGGUGUUUGGGUGUGGCUGCAGAUUUCUGUUUGACACCACCUUGAUGCUGCGCGUGGUAGCCGGGCCCUUGGGGAUGCUCAUCUUGCCCAGGGCCAACCUAGAGGUCAGACUUAGGGCUUCAGUGCAGUCCUUCUAAUUCAGUUUCACAAAGAGAAUAUUCAUCCCCAAGCACCACCAAGUAAUGUGUAUAAUAUUUUCCAGGUGCUGACCAUGUGCUAGGUGCCGCCUGAGCUCUCUCUGAGUUCUUUCAAUUAUCAGUCUCACAAGGUGGACCCUGUUACCGCCCCUGCCGGGAGUGACUGGGGGAGCUGAAGCAGGCCAAUGACACAGUACCAAGGUCACCAAGUCCCUCAGCAGACAGUUCAGCCCCAAAGUUUCCCUCCUGCUGCCAGCCACCCCAUUUCUGCUCACACACCGUCCCCUCACCAGAGGAUUAAAUUUCUCUCCUGUCCGGCUUGCAGAGAGCCUGCCCGGAAGAAUAAAAGGCACUUCGUUGGGCUAUUCACUUCUCGGAAGGGACUGAGGUAUAAACCGCCACCUUUAUUGAAGAUAACUAAGAUGGAAUCCACAGACUAAGAAAAGCAGGAUGGUGUGGGUGCAGAGUGAAAAAGCGACCAGUGUCAGAUCUUUCUGGUGAAUCAGUGGCUACCAACAUGGUGUCACCGAAGCCCGCUCUAUGCAGAUAAUUCCCGGGGCCUGAUCCUCCCACCUUCAGAAUAAAUUACACGGGGUAACACCCUGGGUAUGCAGGAAGCCACCGUUCAAAUGCAGAAAGACACCUGCCAUUCAUUCAACAAGUAUUAAAUUUUCACAGCUGGGGAGGUACACACAGACAUGAGCCUGCAUUAAGGAGUUUAUAACAGGCUCUGCUGGGUAGAGAGGACACCACGAGGAGCAGGAAUGCUUGGUUAGUUGAGUCUCGUUGAGGAGUUUGCCCGUUGUCUCUCAGCAGGACUCUGGGGGAACAGGACACCAGAGGUGAGGAGGAGGGACACGUUUGGCCCAUGAGACAGGGAUUAUUAAGGGCACUGAUAGCCCUGGGUGGGCUGGGGACCCUCCGUGCAUGGGUCGGGGGUGGAGGGGGGUUAGUGGAGAGUGGAGACUGAGAACCCUCCAUCUAAGCUCAGUGGCUCAGCCCACCUGGGGCAGCCCUCAGAGAACCUGAACCCAGCAAGACUGGGACGUCCCUGGGGGAAGUCGUUCUGGAAGACCAAGAUUUCCAGAGAGCAGAAGGUCUGCCCUGUGUGUACAAAGCCCCAUGACUUUCUUUUGAUUUUAAUUGUUUGGGAUAGAAAUAUUCCCUAAAUAUCCAAGACAACAUUUUCAGUAGCUUCACAGUCUUCUCUUUCUCCCAUGCUUUUUUUUUUUUUCCCAAGCAGCAGGACCUUUUUGAUUUUCCCCAUCCAAAGUCUUGCAAAUACUGAGCACUCCUUUUUGAAUCAGAGAUGGGAAGUCACAGUCCUGCUCAGGGGCCUCCCCUGCAUCCCUGUGCCACCCCUGGGCAGAACCCCGGGGCUCCAAAGAACACAUAUGAAAGCAUAUGUGGUGGAAACAGCACUGGACGGCCAGUCAGAAGUCCUGGAGGGAAGCCUGGCCCUCCCGCUCACCAGGCACGUAAGCCGAGGCCGGCCUCUUAGCCACACUAAGUCUUAGUCUCCUCAUCUAUCAAAUGGGGGACAAUAAUAUGAGCCCUGCCUUUCCCUUAGGAUUAUCGUGGGAACCAAAUGAUAAUCAAAUAUGUGGACAGUACAUGCACACUUGAAAGUGCUCCCCCCUCAAGGUCCUGUUGUCCUUCACGUUAUACACAUCACUGACUGCUUAAAAUGCACUGUGAUUUAACAUCCUUUCUGCAGGGUCAAGAAUUUGAACAUCAUGGUUCUGAGCCAUCACACACUGCAGCUCUCAGAAAUCAAAGGGAGGCAGAAGCCCCUUUCAAGAGCCUGAUGCCUGUGACUCUUUGUUCUUUGUGAUGUUGGCCUUUCUAUUUUUCCCCGUCUCCUUCCUCGUCAGACUACCGGCUGUCACUUCCCUCCACUCUAAGGGUGCCUGUCUACUCCCUGGUUUGCUGCCUCUGAUCCACCGUGGACUUGACAACCGGAUAAUGAAGUUUAUGAGAGCUGCGUGUGAAGUGAGGGUACACAGACUCAGGCAAAAUGUACAAUAAACUCCAUGUCCGGGCUACGCACCAUCUGUUCAGCAGCCAAGGAUCCUUUUGACUUCCGUUUUGCCUGUGGCUCAGAUGAACGAGGCUGUAAAACAGAGGAACUGCUGUUCUCACUCCUGAGCUCAAAACUUCUGCUCAGCUUGGGAGCCGCCAGCCAAUCCUCACACGUGCUGUCCCACUGCAGGACCCCACAGGAGGACCCUAGAUCAAAGCUGAGGUGACAAACAGGUGUCCUUGUGCCAAGUUCUCUGACCCCAGGUUCUGGCUGCCUUUGGUUCUUUGGGUUUCAUCCUUGCCGCGAGCCCUGCUCUGUUCCACCAAGUAAUAAGAAGAGCUCCCAUUUCUUGAGGGCUUCCCACCCCUGCCAGGCGCUUUGCAUUCUUGAUCUCAGUUUAUCCUUAACACACCUGGCUAAAAUAGAUGCUGUUAUUUCCUUCUUACAGGUAUGAAAACUGAGCUCAGAGAGGAUGGGUGACUUGCUCAAGGUCACAUAAGUUUUAAGAAGUAGAAUCAGGGCUGGAACCCUGACUGCUGCUCUUCAGAGUUCCCUCUCCUGGGCUCUCAACAGUGAAUCCAAGGCCCUGCUACAUCCUGGAUGUCCAGAGUCUCUCUUACAAGAGGCAAGUGAGUGGUCAGCACCAGAAACCUCACACAUACCUUUUAGCCUGUGGAGAACAGGAAAGAUGUCCUCCGGAGAGCAGGAUUGGGGUGCAUCACCAGGACUGGGGGAGGCCCUGCUCUGGAUGAGAAAACCCAAGGCCCAGGCUACAGGGAGAGAAGAGUCAGGUGGUGUGGUUUCUGGAGCAGCAGGGAGGUUGCCUGAAAAACACGAGGCCACCUGCUGGCUGAUGCCUGAAAAUUCCUUAACCUGGGAUUCAACCUUCUCUUUCACAGUCGAGAGUAAAACUUAAAACAGAAACAUCUCCCAAUUCUGUGGCCAUACAUUAAAAUUCAUGCCAAAGUGUAAAUGACUGAUACCAGCUCCCUUUUUAAGAUCCAUGGAGGGUUUUGAGAGAAGGAAGAGGUACCCAGUGGUGCUCCUGUGGGCAUAAGGAAGGAUGGGAAAGACAAUGGGGGACAGCAAACUGAGAAUGGAAGCUCUAAUGUGGGCAAAAGAAUGCAAGAGGGGAGACUGAGAGAUUACCGGAUCUACCAACUCUGCAGUAUUGUCUAAAACUGGUCCUGGCUUCAGAUAGUCUCACUCUCUUAAAACAUGGGAGACAUUCUCUGCACAAAGGUGCACUGGGCCUGCUGAAAAUCUUUAAGUAAAAUCCGAGAAUGAUUUAAAAAACCUAUUUUGCAAAGGAAUUCUUCAGGCUUUUUUUUUUUUUCAAUGCUCUGACUUGAAGAUGAUUGGUUUUGGAAAAUUGCCUCUACUUGAAUGCCACAUGGGCAUUUAAAUGACAACGUGUCCGUAGGAGAUUCCAUAUAUAGGCAGAGUAGGCUCUUAUAAAUAAUAUGCCCUAGGAUCUAUUAAGUUCAAUGGCACUGCUUUUCAUAACGUUUCUCCAUCAGAAAACAAAAUGUUAAAUUUCAACUGACCAGGAAUCCUUUCUUAAUAAAUAUCGUUAAGUCAAAUUCUUGCUCCUUCUCUAUGUCUUGCCCUUCCUGGACAUGCUUUGCCUUCUUGCAAGACAGAUUUAUACUUUAGUUUUUAAUUGCAAAAGUGGUAGAGGUUUGUUUAAAAAAUUUUCAGUCAUUAAAGCAAUAAGCUUUUAAGUGAAAAUUAUUCCUUGAUUCUCAAGAUACCCCCCAACCCCAUUCUCUAAAGGGAAUAGCAACUUAGUGUAAUUCCUUCUUCCUUCCCUCUCUCCAUCCAUACACAUAUACUUUCUUUCCAACAAUGAAAUAAUUCUAUUAUGUUUUACUUUA
Non-coding RNA from Vicugna pacos (alpaca), 4487 nucleotides. The record is from RefSeq and is a predicted model, not a curated record. Lineage: Eukaryota; Metazoa; Chordata; Mammalia; Artiodactyla; Camelidae.